This 681-nucleotide ribosomal RNA is filed under the name Salmonella enterica subsp. enterica serovar Kentucky. RNAcentral's name for it is "bacterial SSU rRNA". It matches the Rfam family "Bacterial small subunit ribosomal RNA", at positions 1 to 669 of the family's 1533-position model. Lineage: Bacteria; Pseudomonadati; Pseudomonadota; Gammaproteobacteria; Enterobacterales; Enterobacteriaceae. The record is from RNAcentral.
UUAAAUUGAAGAGUUUGAUCAUGGCUCAGAUUGAACGCUGGCGGCAGGCCUAACACAUGCAAGUCGAACGGUAACAGGAAGCAGCUUGCUGCUUUGCUGACGAGUGGCGGACGGGUGAGUAAUGUCUGGGAAACUGCCUGAUGGAGGGGGAUAACUACUGGAAACGGUGGCUAAUACCGCAUAACGUCGCAAGACCAAAGAGGGGGACCUUCGGGCCUCACACCAUCGGAUGUGCCCAGAUGGGAUUAGCUAGUAGGUGGGGUAACGGCUCACCUAGGCGACGAUCCCUAGCUGGUCUGAGAGGAUGACCAGCCACACUGGAACUGAGACACGGUCCAGACUCCUACGGGAGGCAGCAGUGGGGAAUAUUGCACAAUGGGCGCAAGCCUGAUGCAGCCAUGCCGCGUGUAUGAAGAAGGCCUUCGGGUUGUAAAGUACUUUCAGCGGGGAGGAAGGUGUUGUGGUUAAUAACCGCAGCAAUUGACGUUACCCGCAGAAGAAGCACCGGCUAACUCCGUGCCAGCAGCCGCGGUAAUACGGAGGGUGCAAGCGUUAAUCGGAAUUACUGGGCGUAAAGCGCACGCAGGCGGUUUGUUAAGUCAGAUGUGAAAUCCCCGGGCUCAACCUGGGAACUGCAUUUGAAACUGGCAAGCUUGAGUCUCGUAGAGGGGGGUAGAAUUC